This 140-nucleotide small nuclear RNA is filed under the name Gouania willdenowi (blunt-snouted clingfish). Its description in RNAcentral is "U1 spliceosomal RNA (ENSGWIG00000018101.1)". It matches the Rfam family "U1 spliceosomal RNA", at positions 41 to 166 of the family's 166-position model. Rfam says of the family: U1 is a small nuclear RNA (snRNA) component of the spliceosome (involved in pre-mRNA splicing). Its 5' end forms complementary base pairs with the 5' splice junction, thus defining the 5' donor site of an intron. The record is from RNAcentral. Lineage: Eukaryota; Metazoa; Chordata; Actinopteri; Blenniiformes; Gobiesocidae.
UUACUCCCGAGUCAUAUAAAAGAUUAGUUCAUUUUGAACGAAUCGUUCACGAACGAUACAACACUAGCGAAUUCCCCAAAUGUGGGAAUCUCGAUUGCAUAAUUUCUGGUAGUGGGGGACUGCGUUCGCGCUCUCCCCUG